This 3109-nucleotide long non-coding RNA is filed under the name Trifolium pratense (red clover). Its description in RNAcentral is "long non-coding RNA (TPRA_LNC005493)". Lineage: Eukaryota; Viridiplantae; Streptophyta; Magnoliopsida; Fabales; Fabaceae. The record is from RNAcentral.
UGGCUUAAAAAUAACACUUACAAUAUCCAUACAAGAGUAAGAAAAAUAAAAUACAAAUAUAAAAAUAAAUAACUUAAUCUCCUACAAAUAAUUCAUUCAAUAAUGGCAACAUCCAUACAUCAUAAAUUUAAUUGAAGUAUUAGAAACUCCAAAAGAAAAAAUUAAUGUAAUUCAAACAUCCAAAAACUAAAACAUAAACAUUAGUAGAGUGGCUAUACAUACAAAACAUUAUGUCAAAAGAAGUUCGCAAAAUAUCUAAAUAUUCCUUAGUACGUGAUGUUGCUUCAUGAUCCUUAAUUAGUGAUAGCAUAAUUAGUGAUAGCAUGACUCAGAAUGCCUACCAUCUCUUGACUCCUCUAAUUAAGUUACCUGGAAAAACAUAAAUAUAUAUUAGGAUACUUAAAAAAAAAAACGAACGAUAUUGUACAAAUUGACUUGGUCUAUGACAUAACAAGUUUUUAUUUUUUGAAAAACUAAAGACAUGAUUACAAAGCUACAGAAAAGGUAGAGACAAGCUGCAAUUAAUUAACUUCCAGACCUCGUUUCAAAGAGCAAACAUAUAUUUAAUCAAGUAGAAUUACCAAGCUUCAAAACUGUUUUGUGAGCACUAGUGUCUCAUAAUAGAAAAAACAAGACAGCAACAUUAAAACUAAACAAUACAAUAGCAGUGCACAACACAUAAGUCGUAACAGAAAAACAAGACAUUAAUACCAAGCCUAAAAACUAGACAGCAAUAUAAUAACAGUGCACUCAUACUCAUUAUCUCUAUUUAGCAUAUAUCAACAAAAGCAAUACCAAGCAAUCUCUAUAAUACAUUUAGUACCCAAGCCAUAUGCUAGUAAGUCCCUUAAUGCAUAUAUAGACAGAUAGAUAUUACACAUAGACAAAAACCUUUCACAUAAAAAAGGAAUUACCAAUUCUUAAUGCGUAUAAAUACAGUUCUCAACUUAGCAAAAACUUCUUGACUAAAAGGCUACUUAACAUUUCUACAAGGAGAUAUGAUCUGCUAUCACAGUUGAAUUAAUAUGGAUAUUCAAUAAGCUUUUCAAGCAGAUAAUUAUACAAAGUGGACAGAAAGAUGCAUCCUUAAUAAAAUUGAGCUAAAGUAAAUUUACUCAAACAAUACACACUUGAGGCAUCCUUCCAUCAAGGUUCACAUAUAUAGAAUGAACAUUCUGAUCAUUAUUUUGCAUCUCAAUACAAAUGUAAUAAUAUCAUACUCAUUACUUGACUCCAAAAUUUGCACAAUUAAUCACAAAAUCUUCAUUUAUUAAAAGGCUAUAAGUUACUUGACUCCCAAUUCAUGACAAGCAUCAUAUAUAUGAACAAUAUCAAGUUCUUAAUUUAUUUAUUUUUUUAACUAACGACUUUAACCCAACCCAAAAGAUCAAUAGAGUUUCAAUUAACAUUAACAAGAAUCAAAACUUUCAUCAACAUUUGACAUUCAAAGUCAUUAGAUAUAAACUCAGAAAUAAUAUUUAGAACCUGUUUCGGUGCGAUUAUAGAAGGAGCAACAACUACGGACGAUGAGUCUGAUGGUUUUGUGAAGUCCACCGACCACUCUCUGUUUCUCGAUGGUUUCCAAUUCGAGAUAAACUCAUUCAAAGAACAUCAAAUAAAUUCAUAAGAUUAUUGUAAAAUUGGACCUAAAAUCACAUCAAUAAUAAUAAUAAUCAACAUAUAAAUAUAAAUAUAAAAUAAAGGAUAACAUAAAAAAGAGAAUAGAUAUCAUAGAAACUUAUAUUUAUUGACAUCGACAACCGUAAAGUAAGCAACCAUGAAACAAAGCUGGAACUAAAAACUAAAAAGCUACAAGUCCCAAAACCCUCACCUUACCCAAACUACCAGCAGCAAAAACAGAUAUAGAACCACAAACAAGGGAACCAAAAACCAUACUUAAGGGCCAAAAGACCAGAUAUGCCAGAAAACCCAAACCAAAUCAGGCCUUCACCAAUAACAUAAACUCAGAAUCCAAUGACACAAGAAAUGAGCAAGAAAGCACAUAAAAACCAGUACUAGAGGCCAAAUACGCCAGCAGCCGCAACCAGGAAAAGACCAAACCAAUGCACACACUAGCUUAUCCACAAAACCAAACUAAUUCAUCUACAAACAAAACAAAACAAUGCAUUUUGAGACAAACAUUAAAGAAUAAAAUUGUGAAGAAAUUAAUGAGCAUUAUUAUUAAUAUAGAGAAUUAACAAAAGAUUAAACAAAAAGCCAUAAGGUACAUAAGAAUGGAGAAACUAACAAAUUUUGGGUUUUGUUAUGGAGAAAUCAAAGAGGAAGCCGCGAUUGAUAGACUUUACUUCCAUAAAUCAUUCACCUCAGUAAAUAGAACAGAGAAACAUUAAAAUCAAACAUCAACAAAAAAAAAUUGAAAGGCUUUAGUACUCUAAUAUCGUUAACCUCAAUCCUCAAAUAAUAUUUCAACGCAGGCAGCUAUAUUUAAGGGGGAAAUAGAGGAAACAAAAAGAGGACUAGGGUUUUUUAGAUUCUUACCAACUAGAGAGGCUCGAAGCACGUAGAAAGAUGACGAGUCACAGAUCGGCGGACGGAGAACAAACGAGUCACGACACAAGAUCUGUGAAGAACGACAGAGAACAAAGGAGAUGAAAACAAGCAAAAUGAAAUGAAAACAAGCAAAGUAACAUCUAGAAGUAUAAAAUAACACCUGAGAUUUGUCACAGAUUUGACGAUUAGGGAUUGGAAUGAUAGAUGAACGAGUUAGGGGUUUGGAUUUGGAAGGAGUUAGGGAUUUGAAGCCUAAUUAGGGAUUUGUAGUUGCAGGAACUCCGUAGUGCUUGUUAUUGUUGGAAUGCCAUGAAGGACCGACGGUGAAGGAAAACGACGAUGCGGAGUUGAUCUGAUGAAAGGGUUUUUGCGUUUCAGAAAGUGUUUUGUGUUUGUGUUUUGCUUCUUUUGUCUUAGUGUUCUUUUUUUUGGGGAAUUGGGAUUCAAUUUUUUUUUGGUAGUAAAGGAUUCUAUUUUCAUUAGGCGUAUUGCAAAUAUUUUCCCUGUUAGCCACAACACACUGCAACGGUUGUUUAAACUGUCGCAUAGACAGUUACAAAUAUCAUAAAAAAAGCACAUUGCGACGGUUAUUUUCAAU